CUGACUUGCCCAGUCUGGAAGCUCCCUGAAAGCCUGGCAGGCCACCCUACUUCAGCUGCAUUCGGUCCAUACACUGAGGGUCUCAGUGGGGAAAAAGCAGAGUCAUUUUAAAGAAACAUGGAUCUUAGUUUCUAGAAGGUUUUUCCCCAUCUGGCAGACAAAUUUAUGCCUAUUCCACACACAGUUCUGGAGGCUGGGAGGUUCAAGAUCAAGAUGCAGGCAGAUUCAUCUCCUGCUUCUCCUCGUGGGACCAAAGGCAAGUUCUUCUCAUGGUAAGAGUGGAAGAGAAAUAGGGCAAGUGGAAGUGACACACCAUCCUUUCUCAUUUUAUUGGCCAACACCAGUCACAUGACUAACCUCAAAGUCAAAAGGAGGAGAAAUAUAUUCUGUCUGGUCUGUAGCUCAAGUAUCUGCUUAUCCUGGAAGUCUCUAAGAAAUUGAAUGGAAAUAAUCUCAAGAAAAUAUCCUUAAGGAUAAAUUAUUCCUUAUAUAUUUUUUUGUUUAUAAAAAAGAAAACAAAACAAGAAAAGAAAAUCAUGUUCCUUUCAAUGGUUCUUGUACAUUAAUUCCUUCUUUGCUUGCUAGUUUAAGAAUUAGUGCAAUUCCCAUAAAAAUUAGAAUUAGUAAGGUAGUACAAUGAUUUUCUAGAGACUGAGUUUCAUAAUACUUUUAGAUUUUAAAUAUGGUACAUGUUUUAACAAAGUACAGCUAAAGUCUUUUUGGAUCGGACACAAGUUAUGCCACGAGUGCUUAACUUUUUAUAAAUGAGAUGAGUAUAGGAAUUCAAGAGCAGAGGUUCCUGUGGGGAGACCAUUCUCCUGUCUUAUUUGAUGAGUGAUGUGCUAAUCCCAGCACUGAAGCUGUUGGCAGAAAGGAAAGACUUCCGAAAUUGACAGGACUCGUGUGUGGAACUGCCAUGGGUCCGUGGGCUGCCACAGAAUUAUGCAGGAAAUAAUUUUCAAGGAAACAAGAAGGAAAACAUGAUUGGGUCCAAAAUUCUAUCAUUGUUUUAUUGAAAAAGCAAAUCUCUUCUCUAGCUUGAAAUGCUAGAGCUACAAUUUAUUUCUUCUUAAGUUUGUCCCAGUGGGAGUCACAGGCCGGGUCAUAUGGGGUGAUGACCACCUUUCCACCUCCUCUAAUGCUCGCCCCUGGAGUCCAGCUUCCCCCAGAGACUUAUGAAAAGGAAGGGUAGGGUGGAGGCUGGCACCAAACCAAGAAGAAAUAAGAAUCUUGUCAUGUGGUGAGAACUGUUAGCUCAACAUAUUUCUGGUGAUGGCCUGACCUGGAGUCUGAGGUGUCCACGUUUACAGUCAUCUCUACGGUUGAUUAUGGUACUGCAUCUCCAGGAGGCACCCGGCAAAAGGAAAGCGUUAACUUGGCAAACAACUGACUCACAGCGACAGAGCUGUGCAUUGAGUGGGAUUUAAAAUGAAAAUGGAGAAAGAGGGAGUAUUAAUCCUUGAAGAGCUGAUGAAAGCUGGCUGCUAUGGGGACAGCAAAUAUCCUUUGGAAAUAAGCGUGAGUGAGCGAGGUUUCGGAGAAAACAAUGAAGAGAGGCAGAACUAAAACGAAUGGUGUCAGAGGCCUGUAUGUCCAUGUAUUAAACAGUUGCCCACUGGAAGAGUCUUUCCAUUUGCCACACUGGAUGCCACACUGGAUGGGAUAAUCUAGGAGGGAGGAACUGUGGAGAUGGUGCGCCUUGGGAUGUCCAGAAGACAGUGACCAGAAUUUCAAGAGAUGUUUUCAGAUUUCACAGUAUAAUAAGAGAAAAGGAGCCAAUCCCUUAAAUGAAGAACCUUCAAUCACUUCUCCCCAGGUGCACGUUUCAAUUUCAUUUCUUUUCAUCAACUCCUUCCCUUUGAUGAUGGGUUGCAUUGAAAACUAUUAAGAAAAGUAGGAUAUUUAAAAUGAACUGUGUUAAGAAGAGGAUCAUUUCAAAGAAUCUAUUCUGAGGAAGUGCCUUCAGCCAAUCAAAAAGCUAAAGAAACUGGAUAUAAUGUGAAUCUAGUGUAAAUUACCAUGAUGUCUCCUUCAACAUUCAUCAAGACUUCUGACUAGUCUACUUGAUCUGUGAAAAUGAGAUUACUUGAAGACCUGUCACAGAUUUUAAAGCAGAACACGAUAUAUUGAUUAUACAAAUAUUUUUAUGUCACCCUGUAUCUUAAUAAAAUAACAUUUACGUCUGGA
This 2187-nucleotide long non-coding RNA is filed under the name Homo sapiens (human). Its description in RNAcentral is "HSALNT0337778". The record is from RNAcentral. Lineage: Eukaryota; Metazoa; Chordata; Mammalia; Primates; Hominidae.